Molecule: ribosomal RNA, 465 nt
Filed under: uncultured bacterium
Lineage: Bacteria
Description: partial 16S ribosomal RNA
Rfam family: Bacterial small subunit ribosomal RNA
Source: RNAcentral
GACGAACGCUGGCGGCGUGCUUAACACAUGCAAGUCGAACGGUGAACCUGCUUCGGUGGAGGAUCAGUGGCGAACGGGUGAGUAACACGUGGGCAACCUGCCCUCAGCUCUGGGAUAACUCCAAGAAAUUGGGGCUAAUACUGGAUAUGACCGCUGACCGCAUGGUCUGGUGGUGGAAAGAUUUAUCGGCUGGGGAUGGGCCCGCGGCCUAUCAGCUUGUUGGUGGGGUAGUGGCCUACCAAGGCGACGACGGGUAGCCGGCCUGAGAGGGUGACCGGCCACACUGGGACUGAGACACGGCCCAGACUCCUACGGGAGGCAGCAGUGGGGAAUAUUGCGCAAUGGGCGAAAGCCUGACGCAGCGACGCCGCGUGGGGGAUGACGGCCUUCGGGUUGUAAACCUCUUUCAGCAGGGACGAAGCGAAAGUGACGGUACCUGCAGAAGAAGCACCGGCCAACUACGUG